RNAcentral lists this ribosomal RNA (253 nucleotides) under uncultured bacterium. RNAcentral's name for it is "partial 16S ribosomal RNA". It matches the Rfam family "Bacterial small subunit ribosomal RNA", at positions 524 to 776 of the family's 1533-position model. The record is from RNAcentral.
UACGUAGGGCGCAAGCGUUAUCCGGAAUUAUUGGGCGUAAAGCGCGCGUAGGCGGUCACCUAAGUCGAAUGUGAAAGCCCUCGGCUCAACCGGGGAAGUGCAUCCGAAACUGGGCGACUGGAGUACCAAAGAGGGUCGCGGAAUUCCCGGUGUAGAGGUGAAAUUCGUAGAUAUCGGGAGGAACACCGGCGGCGAAGGCGGCGACCUGGUUGGAUACUGACGCUGAGGCGCGAAAGCGUGGGGAGCAAACAGG